RNAcentral lists this small RNA (78 nucleotides) under uncultured Prochlorococcus marinus clone HOT0M-2B5. RNAcentral's name for it is "Cyanobacterial functional RNA 10". It matches the Rfam family "Cyanobacterial functional RNA 10". Lineage: Bacteria; Bacillati; Cyanobacteriota; Cyanophyceae; Synechococcales; Prochlorococcaceae. The record is from Rfam by way of RNAcentral.
AUCAGAAACUCUUCACACGUUAAUCUCUUAUAAGUAAAUUCCUUUUUCUCUGAAUUAGGGUAUUUCUUUAUGUCCAGA